GAUGAACGCUGGCGGCGUGCCUAAUACAUGCAAGUCGAGCGAACAGACGAGGAGCUUGCUCCUCUGACGUUAGCGGCGGACGGGUUAGUAACACGUGGAUAACCUACCUAUAAGACUGGGAUAACUUCGGGAAACCGUAGCUAAUACCGGAUAAUAUAUUUCACCGCAUGGUUCAAUAGUGAAAGACGGUUUUGCUUUCACUUAUAGCUUGAUCCGCGCCGCAUUAGCUAGUUGGUAAGGUAACUGCUUACCAAGGCAACGAUGCGUAGCCGACCUGAGAGGGUGAUCGGCCACACUGGAACUGAGACAAGGUACAGACUCCUACGGGAGGCAGCAGUAGGGAAUCUUCCGCAAUGGGCGAAAGCCUGACGGAGCAAAGCCGCGGGAGGGAUGAAGGUCUUCGGAUCGUAAAACUCUGUUAUUAGGGAAGAACAAAUGUGUAAGUAACUAUGCACGUCUUGACGGUACCUAAUCAGAAAGCCACGGCUAACUACGUG
Molecule: ribosomal RNA, 497 nt
Filed under: uncultured bacterium
Lineage: Bacteria
Description: partial 16S ribosomal RNA
Rfam family: Bacterial small subunit ribosomal RNA
Source: RNAcentral